UACGUAGGGUGCAAGCGUUGUCCGGAAUUAUUGGGCGUAAUGAGCUCGUAGGCGGCUUGUCGCGUCGGCUGUGAAAACCUGGGGCUCAACCCCGGGCCUGCAGCCGAUACGGGCAAGCUAGAAUUCGGUAGGGGAGACUGGAAUUCCUGGUGUAGCGGUGAAAUGCGCAGAUAUCAGGAGGAACACCGGUGGCGAAGGCGGGUCUCUGGGCCGAAAUUGACGCUGAGGAGCGAAAGCGUGGGGAGCGAACAGG
RNAcentral lists this ribosomal RNA (253 nucleotides) under uncultured bacterium. Its description in RNAcentral is "partial 16S ribosomal RNA". It matches the Rfam family "Bacterial small subunit ribosomal RNA", at positions 524 to 776 of the family's 1533-position model. The record is from RNAcentral.